This 439-nucleotide ribosomal RNA is filed under the name uncultured bacterium. RNAcentral describes it as "partial 16S ribosomal RNA". It matches the Rfam family "Bacterial small subunit ribosomal RNA", at positions 338 to 795 of the family's 1533-position model. The record is from RNAcentral.
CCUACGGGGGGCAGCAGUGGGGGAUAUUGCACAAUGGGGGGAACCCUGAUGCAGCGACGCCGCGUGGGUGAAGAAGCGCCUCGGCGCGUAAAGCCCUGUCAGCAGGGAAGAAAAUGACGGUACCGGAAGAAGAAGCCCCGGCUAACUACGUGCCAGCAGCCGCGGUAUACGUAGGGGGCCAGAGUUAUCCGGAUUUACCGGGGGUUAAGGGGGCGCAGACGGCGAUGCAAGCCAGGAGUGAAAGACCGGGGGCCAACCCCGGGAUUGCUGGUGGAACUGCGUGGCUGGAGUGCGGGAGGGGCAGGCGGAAGUCCUGGUGUAGCGGUGAAAUGCGUAGAUAUCAGGAAGAACACCGGUGGCGAAGGCAGCCUACUGGAGUGCAACUGACGUUGAGGCCCGAAAGCGUGGGGAGCGAACAGGAUUAGAUACCCUUGUAGUC